CUCAGUAACACGUGGAUAACCUGCCCUUAGGACUGGCAUAACCCCGGGAAACUGGGGAUAAUUCCGGAUAGUUCAUGGUAGCUGGAAUGCUCCAUGAUCGAAAGCUAUUGCGCCUAAGGAUGGGUCUGCGGUCUAUCAGGUAGUAGUGGGUGUAAUGUACCUACUAGCCGACGACGGAUACGGGUUGUGGGGGCAAGAGCCCGGAGAUGGAUUCUGAGACAUGAAUCCAGGCCCUACGGGGCGCAGCAGGCGCGAAAACUUUACAAUGCGGGAAACCGCGAUAAGGGGACACCGAGUGCCAGCAUCUUAUGUUGGCUGUCCGCAUGUAUAAAUCACAUGUGUUAGCAAGGGCCGGGCAAGACCGGUGCCAGCCGCCGCGGUAACACCGGCGGCCCGAGUGGUGGCCACUAUUAUCGGGUCUAAAGGGUCCGUAGCCGGUUUGGUCAGUCUUCCGGGAAAUCUGACGGCUUAACCGUUAGGCUUUCGGGGGAUACUACCAGGCUUGGGACCGGGAGAGGUAAGAGGUACUACGGGGGUAGGAGUGAAAUCUUGUAAUCCUCGUGGGACCACCAGUGGCG
RNAcentral lists this ribosomal RNA (578 nucleotides) under uncultured archaeon. RNAcentral's name for it is "bacterial SSU rRNA". It matches the Rfam family "Archaeal small subunit ribosomal RNA", at positions 89 to 668 of the family's 1478-position model. The record is from RNAcentral.